UGGGAACGCGAAGAACCUUACCUAGACUUGACAUCUCCUGAAUUACUCUGUAAUGGAGGAAGCCACUUCGGUGGCAGGAAGACAGGUGGUGCAUGGUUGUCGUCAGCUCGUGUCGUGAGGUGUUGGGUUAAGUCCCGCAACGAGCGCAACCCUUAUUGUUAGUUGCUACCAUUUAGUUGAGCACUCUAGCGAGACUGCCCGGGUUAACCGGGAGGAAGGUGGGAUGACGUCAAAUCAUCAUGCCCCUUAUGUCUAGGGCUACACACGUGCUACAAUGGUCGGUACAAUGAGAUGCAACCUCGCGAGAGUGAGCAAAACUAUAAAACCGAUCUCAGUUCGGAUUGUAGGCUGAAACUCGCCUACAUGAAGCUGGAGUUGCUAGUAAUCGCGAAUCAGAAUGUCGCGGUGAAUAC
RNAcentral lists this ribosomal RNA (413 nucleotides) under uncultured bacterium. RNAcentral describes it as "bacterial SSU rRNA". It matches the Rfam family "Bacterial small subunit ribosomal RNA", at positions 954 to 1369 of the family's 1533-position model. The record is from RNAcentral.